CCUACGGGAGGCAGCAGUGAGGAAUAUUGGUCAAUGGGCUUACGCCUGAACCAGCCAAGUCGCGUGAGGGAAGACUGCCCUAUGGGUUGUAAACCUCUUUUGUCAGGGAGCAACGCCGGCUACGUGUAGCCGGACUGAGAGUACCUGACGAAAAAGCAUCGGCUAACUCCGUGCCAGCAGCCGCGGUAAUACGAAGGAGGCGAGCGUUAUCCGGAGUUAUUGGGUUUAAAGGGUGCGUAGGCGGAAUGCCAAGUCAGCGGUAAAAUCGCGGGGCUCAACCUCGCUCCGCCGUUGAACCUGGCGUUCUUGAGUGGGCGAGAAGUAUGCGGAAUGCGUGGUGUAGCGGUGAAAUGCAUAGAUAUCACGAAGAACUCCGAUUGCGAAGGCAGCAUACCGGCGCCCAACUGACGCUGAAGCACGAAAGCGUGGGUAUCGAACAGGAUUAGAUACCCGUGUAGUC
RNAcentral lists this ribosomal RNA (460 nucleotides) under uncultured bacterium. RNAcentral describes it as "partial 16S ribosomal RNA". It matches the Rfam family "Bacterial small subunit ribosomal RNA", at positions 338 to 795 of the family's 1533-position model. The record is from RNAcentral.